RNAcentral lists this ribosomal RNA (483 nucleotides) under uncultured bacterium. RNAcentral's name for it is "bacterial SSU rRNA". It matches the Rfam family "Bacterial small subunit ribosomal RNA", at positions 28 to 524 of the family's 1533-position model. The record is from RNAcentral.
GAUGAACGCUGGCGGCGCGUCUUAAACAUGCAAGUCGAACGAUCUGUAGCAAUACAGGGAGUGGCGGACGGGUGAGGAACACGUAGGAAUCUACCUAGAAGAGCGGGACAACUUUGGGAAACCGGGGCUAAUACCGCAUAGUACAGAGAUGUUAAAGGGCUAGCAAUAGUCGCUUCUAGAUGAGCCUGCGGUCUAUCAGCUUGUUGGUGAGGUAAUGGCUCACCAAGGCAACGACGGAUAGCCGGUCUGAGAGGAUGAUCGGCCACACUGGCACUGAGACACGGGCCAGACUCCUACGGGAGGCAGCAGUUAAGAAUCUUGCGCAAUGGGGGAAACCCUGACGCAGCGACGCCGCGUGAAGGAUGAAGGCUUUCGGGUUGUAAACUUCGGUAGACUGGGAAGAAGAACUACGUUCGUUGAGGGCGUAGAGUGACGGUACCAGUCUGAAGCCCCGGCUAAUUACGUGCCAGCAGCCGCGGUAAU